CGCGUAGACUUACUGGCCUUGAACUGUAAUGAGACCGUGUGCAGAUAUGUGCCUUUUCGCAAGAACUGUUACAGAGGUGCUGCAUGGCUGUCGUCAGCUCGCGUCGUGAGAUGAUGGGUUAAUUCCCGCAACGAGCGCAACCCUUACCUUUUUUGCCACCGGGUCAUGCCGGGAACUCUAAUGGACUGCCCGGGUUAACCGGGGGAAGGCGGGGAUGAUGUCCAGUCCUCAUGGCCCUUAUGUCCCGGGCUACCCACGUGCUACAAUGGGCGAUACAAACCGUUGCCAGAUCCCGAGAUGGAACUAAUCCUAGAAAGUCCUCCUCAAUUCGGAUUGGAAUCCGCAACUCCACUGCAUGAAGGUGGAAUCCCUAGUAAUCCUGUAACAAAAUGAUACGGUGAAUACCUUCCCGGGCC
RNAcentral lists this ribosomal RNA (416 nucleotides) under uncultured bacterium. RNAcentral's name for it is "bacterial SSU rRNA". It matches the Rfam family "Bacterial small subunit ribosomal RNA", at positions 962 to 1380 of the family's 1533-position model. The record is from RNAcentral.